RNAcentral lists this ribosomal RNA (468 nucleotides) under uncultured bacterium. RNAcentral's name for it is "partial 16S ribosomal RNA". It matches the Rfam family "Bacterial small subunit ribosomal RNA", at positions 28 to 507 of the family's 1533-position model. The record is from RNAcentral.
GACGAACGCUGGCGGCGUGCUUAACACAUGCAAGUCGAACGGAAAGGCCCUGCUUUUGUGGGGUGCUCGAGUGGCGAACGGGUGAGUAACACGUGAGUAACCUGCCCUUGACUUUGGGAUAACUUCAGGAAACUGGGGCUAAUACCGGAUAGGAGCUCCUGCUGCAUGGGGGGGGUUGGAAAGUUUCGGCGGUUGGGGAUGGACUCGCGGCUUAUCAGCUUGUUGGUGGGGUAGUGGCUUACCAAGGCUUUGACGGGUAGCCGGCCUGAGAGGGUGACCGGCCACAUGGGGACUGAGAUACGGACCAGAAUCCUACGGGAGGCAGCAGUGGGGAAUAUUGCACAAUGGGCGGAAGCCUGAUGCAGCAACGCCGCGUGCGGGAUGACGGCCUUCGGGUUGUAAACCGCUUUGGCCUGUGACGAAGCGUGAGUGACGGUAAUGGGUAAAGAAGCACCGGCUAACUACGUG